UAGUUUGUUGGGGCUGGUUAGGCUUUGGGCUUUGGGAUGCCUUUGACCUAGAUUCAAAGCCUGGCUCUGCCUCUUAUUAUCAUAUAAUCUUGACUAUGUGUAUGUAAUCUGUCUGAUGCUGAAUUUCCUCAUCUGAGAAACGAGGAUGGUAAUGAUGAUGACCUGUAUUAAUGGAGAUGCGGAAAGUAAGGCCUAGAAAAGUGAAGUCAUUCUCCACUGAGCCCCGGAUUCCAGUUCAAGCUUGGCUGGCUGCUUUCAAAGCCCAUUUUUCCACCCACUAUCAGAUUGUGGAGCCAGACUAAUGAAAGUGGAGUGGAGAAAUCUACCCUAAGGAAAGGGAAGCCUGCUUUUGUGGGAGUGUGGGGUGCGUGCUUGGCUCAUCCCAACGUGUUGGCCUCCUGGCUAGCAGGAGGAAUUAAUUCUGGCCUCUGCAGCAGCCCUUGCUUCCUUGCCAAAAGGCAAGAGGCUGGAGUCCUGCUUGCAGCUCCCUCCUCCUGCCACCUACACAUCCACGAGUCACUUCCAAGGGUGGAGAAGCCUUUGAAGUCGGUAGUGACGCCGUGGAGGGUGAAGGCUUCGGAGAACUGAAGAGGUGAACACAGGGCCAGCAGAUAAGCAACCUAAACAACCAAGAGUGCACUCCCAGGCACAGAAUGAAGAAUUUCCGACAACGAGUUUUUGCCUGGCUUUUGCUUAGUCUAGUUUUUAGAGCUAUGAAGGAUGAUGUUCCUGAACUUGGCUAAGCCAGAAAUGGAAGAAGCUGUUAGCUCAGCAGUAGUCUAUGAGCUUUCCCCCAGAGUUAGAGCUCUGGGAUCUCUUGCCUCAGUUGGGGCUUGCCUGUAGCUUUCUCUCUCUCUCUUUCUGUAUUGAAUAAAUCAAUCUAGGGCUGACAAGAGUCCUAGGAGAUGCAUUUUA
This is a non-coding RNA of Macaca mulatta (Rhesus monkey), 915 nucleotides long. The record is from RefSeq and is a predicted model, not a curated record. Lineage: Eukaryota; Metazoa; Chordata; Mammalia; Primates; Cercopithecidae.